RNAcentral lists this long non-coding RNA (531 nucleotides) under Mytilus galloprovincialis (Mediterranean mussel). Lineage: Eukaryota; Metazoa; Mollusca; Bivalvia; Mytilida; Mytilidae. The record is from RNAcentral.
GCUUUGCUGAUAAAGAUUUGGAUACAGCUUCGGUUGGAGUAAUAACAAAAUUCAGUGAACCAAUGAAUACAAAAAGAAAUGAUUCAAGUUUGAAUUUCAUUAAAGUAUUACCAUCAAAGAUCAGUAUCCUUCGUCGUAUGUUUCCUUGGAGCAAUUCAAACAUUUUAGAAUUGGUAUUACAGAGUUGUCAUGGAGACUUGGAUACUGCAAUAUAUCAGUUAAAACUUACAACUUUAAGACAACAGGAUUACACAGACAGUCAACGUAGUAGCAAAAAUAUUGACGUAUAUAUUUUACCCUUUGAUAACAAUCUAUUUACGGGAAAAGAUGGAGUCCAGGAGCAGUCUGACGGUGCUAUUAACGACUUAAGAUGUGGAGUUUUUACACGAUUUACCAACAUGUCUUUUAAAAAAGAAGAAUGUUUUGACAAUUCAAAUUUAAAUCACAGACCAGACUUGAAUUACUUAAAAACUGAAAAGCUUAAAUCGACAUCUAGUGAUUUGAAAUUUUCUAUUGCUUCAAUAAUUGGCG